Molecule: ribosomal RNA, 433 nt
Filed under: uncultured bacterium
Lineage: Bacteria
Description: partial 16S ribosomal RNA
Rfam family: Bacterial small subunit ribosomal RNA
Source: RNAcentral
AACGAACGCUGGCGGCAUGCCUAACACAUGCAAGUCGAACGAGACCUCCGGGUCUUGUGGCGCACGGGUGCGUAACGCGUGGGAACCUGCCCUUAGGUUCGGAAUAACUCCCCGAAAGGGGUGCUAAUACCGGAUAAUGUCUUCGGACCAAAGAUUUAUCGCCUUUGGAGGGGCCCGCGUUGGAUUAGCUGGUUGGUAGGGUAAAAGCCUACUAAGGCGACAAUCCAUAGCUGGUCUGAGAGACUGAUCAGCCACACUGGGACUGAGACGCGGCCCGGACUCCUACGGGAAGCAGCAGUGGGGAAUAUUGGACCAUGGGCGGAAGCCUGAUCCAGCAAUGCCGCGUGAGUGAUGAAGGCCUUAGAGUUGUAAAGCUCUUUUACCCGGGAUGAUAAUGACGGUACCGGGAGAAUAAGCUCCGGCUAACUACGUG